RNAcentral lists this microRNA precursor (136 nucleotides) under Hordeum vulgare. Its description in RNAcentral is "microRNA MIR1122". It matches the Rfam family "MIR1120/MIR1122 microRNA precursor family". The record is from RNAcentral. Lineage: Eukaryota; Viridiplantae; Streptophyta; Magnoliopsida; Poales; Poaceae.
GAUGUACUCCUUCCGUCUCAACAUUCUUGUAUUUGUUUUAUGUAGAUAUGAAUGUAUGUAGUCAUGUGUUAGUAUUUAGAUACAUUCAUUUAUGAACAAAUGUAAGAUAAGAAUUUUGAAACGGAGGGAUUACGUA